This 263-nucleotide ribosomal RNA is filed under the name uncultured bacterium. RNAcentral's name for it is "partial 16S ribosomal RNA". It matches the Rfam family "Bacterial small subunit ribosomal RNA", at positions 92 to 354 of the family's 1533-position model. The record is from RNAcentral.
UUAGCGGCGGACGGGUGAGUAACGCGUGGGUAACCUGCCUCAUACGAGGGGGAUAACAGUUAAGAAAUGACUGCUAAUACCGCAUAAGCGCACGGUUUCGCAUGGAACAGUGUGAAAAACUCCGGUGGUAUGGAUGGACCCGCGUCUGAUUAGCUGGUUGGCGGGGUAACGGCCCACCAAAGCGACGAUCAGUAGCCGACCUGAGAGGGUGACCGGCCACAUUGGGACUGAGACACGGCCCAAACUCCUACGGAAGGCAGCAG